AAGUGCCAUCGCAAUUCAAACUGCUCCAAUUGAGCGAGCUGCUGGUCUUCCGACAAUUUGAAAACAUUAAAACAGUCGUAACUCCUAGGGCAACAGGACUUUUCGACAUCCAAUUUGAGGCAGUGUCCACCCACAAUUACGUUGCGACUGCGCCACAUUUCCGUUUUGACCAAAUUUCAGAGCUGGUGAUUGACUUGCGCUACGCUUUUAUGUGCGACUGGGACAAGUGAAAAUGAAUUUUCAUUCCGGAAUACGCAAAAAAAAAAAAAAAGAAAAGGAGAGAAGGCCCACAGAUCGAAAGUCAACGAAAAAUGUCUUGUGUUAUAAAAACUAAUGAUUGGCAAUUGGUUUUUACUGUUAUUGCCGCGCCCUGUUUCCUUGUUGGGCGCAGAGGCGUGGCAACGUGGAACUGAAAUUGGAAUUGUAUCGAGGCCGAGAGUUCUACGCAUUGUCUUGCAAUACGCAUAAUUUCCAGCCGCGUGCACUUGCAGGAAAAUCAUCUUGCUACAUCUUAAUUGUUGGCGCUUCCGUUCGAGAUGCUACAUUAAUUUCGAAGUAAAUCCCAUGGUCUCCAUUCACCAGAGAAGAAUAGCUGUAUCCAUAUAAAGCGAGCCAGGCCUUCAACAAAUUCUAAUUUAUUGCAAUUAUGUGACGCAUGUCACACUCACUGCUGACCAUUGACCAGGAGGCCGACACGUGACCAAUCUGCUUGCCCCGGGGCCACUGAUUGGAAAACACUAAACAGAUAGGCUAGUCGAGCGGGCGGCCAGACAGCAGCUGUCCGACCAUUCUAUAGAGAUUUAUUUUACGCUGAUAACACGCUUAAGUAAAUGCAGCGCACACACAGACACACACACGCCGUCGUCGUGGACGUCACCCAGCUCCCAGUUCGAGUUCGUACAAUUUAAAUGGCGAUUAAAUCUGUUGGCAUUGAUGGAUGUGUCCAAGGCGGCUGCGUGGCUAGCGGGCUGACUGGCUGCCGGGCUGCCAGGCUGCUGGGUUGGCAGCCUGUUCUGUGGUCAGUCUGCAGGAUGCGGCGCCGUGUUAACACUUUUGUACAAUUGCCAAUUUUUCGCCAGCGCCUGCUGAUGAGCUAUCCUCAACAGCCGAGCAGCCCGCCUGGCCUGACUGUGUGUGGGUGGUUGGUUGGUUUGCCUGGUUGCUGGCCAGCGGUGGCUUUUGUGGUGUUGUCCUCGGCUGAAAGCCUGUUCUUGCCGUGAGUGGGUGGACAUUGAGUUGGGCUGGCAUGCGGCUACACUUCAAUAUUCAUUUGAACGCAUAAUUGAUAUUGACGAACAAUGUUGCCGUGUCGCUACAAUGUUUCAAGUGCACUGGGAGAAUGCGCUAAGCCUGCAUUAAG
RNAcentral lists this small RNA (1360 nucleotides) under Drosophila mojavensis. Its description in RNAcentral is "GI26391". Lineage: Eukaryota; Metazoa; Arthropoda; Insecta; Diptera; Drosophilidae. The record is from RNAcentral.